UCCGGUGGCUAUUGCGCGGGGGAAAUACCUCUUCCCAUUCCGAACAGAGCAGUCAAGCCCCGUAGCGCCGAUGGUACUUGGCCUGCAAGGGCCUGGGAGAGUAGGUCGCCGCCGGUC
This 117-nucleotide ribosomal RNA is filed under the name Solirubrobacter taibaiensis. The record is from RNAcentral. Lineage: Bacteria; Bacillati; Actinomycetota; Thermoleophilia; Solirubrobacterales; Solirubrobacteraceae.